UUCAUUAGUAUAGAAUAUAGUAAACAAAUGACUUCCUUCUAAACUCAAAACCUUAAUGACCGUUACGAAUCAAAUCGCAUCCUCAUCGUUUAUCAUUUAAAAAUCAAUAUGAAGAGAAAAAAAAAUAUAAAAUAUAAUCUUUUAUUCACCAUAACUUUAAAAUACUAACAACCCUCUUUUGUCAACAGGUAGAGGAGAAAAAAAAAAA
This 208-nucleotide long non-coding RNA is filed under the name Musa acuminata (dwarf banana). Its description in RNAcentral is "long non-coding RNA (MACU_LNC000553)". Lineage: Eukaryota; Viridiplantae; Streptophyta; Magnoliopsida; Zingiberales; Musaceae. The record is from RNAcentral.